GACGUAGGGCGCGAGCGUUUGUCCGGAUUUAUUGGGCGUAAAGGGCUCGUAGGCGGUUUGUCGCGUCGGGAGUGAAAUCCACUGGCUUAACUGGUGGCUUGCUUUCGAUACGGGCAGACUGGAGGUAUGCAGGGGAGAACGGAAUUCCUGGUGUAGCGGUGAAAUGCGCAGAUAUCAGGAGGAACACCGGUGGCGAAGGCGGUUCUCUGGACCGUAGCUGACGCUGAGACACGAAAGCGUGGGUAGCAAACAGG
RNAcentral lists this ribosomal RNA (254 nucleotides) under uncultured bacterium. RNAcentral describes it as "partial 16S ribosomal RNA". It matches the Rfam family "Bacterial small subunit ribosomal RNA", at positions 524 to 776 of the family's 1533-position model. The record is from RNAcentral.